GUUUGGUCAAGCUACUAAGAGUAUAUGGUGGAUGCCUUGGCGGAGGACGGCGAAGAAGGACGUGAUUAGCUGCGAUAAGCUUCGGGGAGUUGCUAAAUAAACUUUGAUCCGGAGAUUUCCGAAUGGGAAAACCCAGCCGCGCGAAAGCACGGUUAUCCCAGGCUGAAUACAUAGGCCUGGCGAGGCGAACGGGGGGAACUGAAACAUCUAAGUACCCCUAGGAAAAGAAAACAAGUCAGUGAUUCCCCUAGUAGUGGCGAGCGAACGGGGAACAGCCUAAACCCGGUUGUUUACAACCGGGGGUUGCGGGGCCUUAACAUGGGAUUUGUGGAGGAUAGUCGAACUGUCUGGAAAGUCAGGCCAUAGCGGGUGAUAGCCCCGUAGACGAAAUCCGAAGCAACCCUAGAGGAACCCCAAGUACAACGGGACACGAGAAACCCUGUUGGAAUCCGGGAGGACCAUCUCCCAAGGCUAAAUACGUGCCUCCGACCGAUAGUGAACUAGUACCGUGAGGGAAAGGCGAAAAGAACCCGGGAACGGGAGUGAAAUAGAACCUGAAACCGUAUACUUACAAGCAGUGGGAGGGCUAUGGCUCUUACGAGCAAUGCCUGACCGCGUGCCUUUUGCAUAAUGAGCCGGCGAGUUAUUGUAUGUAGCAAGGUUAAGCCGUUGAGGUGUAGCCGCAGCGAAAGCGAGUCUGAAUAGGGCGAUUCAGUUGCAUGCAAUAGACCCGAAACCUAGUGAUCUACCCUUGGCCAGGAUGAAGGGCGGGUAACACCGCCUGGAGGUCCGAACUGGUGAACGUUGAAAAGUUCUCGGAUGAGCUGAGGGUAGGGGUGAAAGGCUAAUCAAACUGGGAGAUAGCUGGUUUUCCUCGAAAUAUAUUGAGGUAUAGCCUCGUAUGGAUAGUAGCGGAGGUAGAGCACUGGAUGGACUAGGGGUCGGAAAACGAUUACCAAAUCUAACCAAACUCCGAAUUCCGCUAACUUAUAUACGGGAGUCAGACUGUGGGGGAUAAACUUCAUAGUCGAAAGGGGAAGAGCCCAGACCGCCGAUUAAGGCCCCCAAAUCUACACUAAGUGUGAAAGGAUGUGGAAACGCUCCGACAACUAGGAGGUUGGCUUAGAAGCAGCCAUCCUUUAAAGAAAGCGUAACAGCUCACUAGUCAAGCGAGUCCGCGCCGAAAAUGUAACGGGGCUUAAGUGUAGUGCCGAAAUCGCGGGUUCGAUUUGUUUUGCGAAACAAGUCGAGCGGUAGAGGAAUAUUCCAGUAGCCGUCGAAGGUCCACCGAGAGGAGGGCUGGAGGUUCUGGAAGAGCUUAUGCUGGCAUGAGUAGCGACAAAAUGUGAGAGUAACACAUUCGCCGUAAGCCUAAGGUUUCCUGGGGAAGGUUAAUCCGCCCAGGGUUAGUCGGUACCUAAGUCGAGGCUCAAGAGCGUAGACGAUGGACAUCGGGUUAAUAUUCCCGAACCGACUUGGCAGCGUUUGAUGCUAAGGGAUGACGGAGAAGGGUAGAUCAGCCACCGAUCGGUUGUGGUGGUUCAAGCCUGUAGGAUGACCGGAUAGGCAAAUCCGUUCGGUUAUAUCCGAGAGGUGAGUACGAUGGGUCCUAGACCCUGCAAAGUGAUUGAUCCCAUGCUUCCAAGAAAAAUCUCGUAGCUAGUUGUCAGGUCGACCGUACCGCAAAUGGACACACAUAGGCGGGGUGAGUAUCCCAAGGCGCUUGAGAGAACUCUGGUGAAGGAACUCUGCAAAUUAACACCGUAACUUCGGGAGAAGGUGUGCCUACAUUAGGUGAAGCCCCUCGCGGGUGGAGCCGAAGUAGGUCGCAGGGAAAUGGGGGUCACGACUGUUUAACAAAAACACAGGACUCUGCAAAGUGUACCAACACGAUGUAUAGGGUCUGACGCCUGCCCGGUGCUGGAAGGUUAAGGGGAGGGGUUAGCCGCAAGGCGAAGCUCCGAACCGAAGCCCCAGUAAACGGCGGCCGUAACUAUAACGGUCCUAAGGUAGCGAAAUUCCUUGUCGGGUAAGUUCCGACCUGCACGAAUGGCGUAACGAUGGC
RNAcentral lists this ribosomal RNA (2065 nucleotides) under Deltaproteobacteria bacterium PRO3. Its description in RNAcentral is "partial 23S ribosomal RNA". It matches the Rfam family "Bacterial large subunit ribosomal RNA", at positions 1 to 2011 of the family's 2925-position model. The record is from RNAcentral. Lineage: Bacteria; Deltaproteobacteria.